AUACGUAGGGGGCGAGCGUUGUCCGGAAUGAUUGGGCGUAAAGGGCGCGUAGGCGGCCCGGUAAGUCUGGAGUGAAAGUCCUGCUUUUAAGGUGGGAAUUGCUUUGGAUACUGUCGGGCUUGAGUGCAGGAGAGGUAAGUGGAAUUCCCAGUGUAGCGGUGAAAUGCGUAGAGAUUGGGAGGAACACCAGUGGCGAAGGCGGCUUACUGGACUGUAACUGACGCUGAGGCGCGAAAGUGUGGGGAGCAAACAGGAUUAGAUACCCUGGUAGUCCACACUGUAAACGAUGAAUGCUAGGUGUAGGGGGUAUCGACCCCUUCUGUGCCGCAGUUAACACAAUAAGCAUUCCGCCUGGGGAGUACGGCCGCAAGGUUGAAACUCAAAUGAAUUGACGGGG
This 397-nucleotide ribosomal RNA is filed under the name uncultured bacterium. RNAcentral describes it as "partial 16S ribosomal RNA". It matches the Rfam family "Bacterial small subunit ribosomal RNA", at positions 523 to 918 of the family's 1533-position model. The record is from RNAcentral.